RNAcentral lists this transfer RNA (74 nucleotides) under Marmota monax (woodchuck). RNAcentral describes it as "tRNA.Sup". Lineage: Eukaryota; Metazoa; Chordata; Mammalia; Rodentia; Sciuridae. The record is from RNAcentral.
GGGGGGGGGCUCAGUGGUAGAGUGCCUGCCUCUACCACAAGUAUGAGGCACUGGGUUCGAUCCUCAGCACCACA